GUGCCCGUGGUGUAGUGGUUAUCACAUCCGCCUAACACGCGGAAGGUCCCAGGUUCGAUUCCUGGAGGGCACG
RNAcentral lists this transfer RNA (73 nucleotides) under Dermacentor andersoni. RNAcentral describes it as "transfer RNA valine (anticodon AAC)". It matches the Rfam family "tRNA". Rfam says of the family: Transfer RNA (tRNA) molecules are approximately 80 nucleotides in length. Lineage: Eukaryota; Metazoa; Arthropoda; Arachnida; Ixodida; Ixodidae. The record is from RNAcentral.